Molecule: ribosomal RNA, 466 nt
Filed under: uncultured bacterium
Lineage: Bacteria
Description: partial 16S ribosomal RNA
Rfam family: Bacterial small subunit ribosomal RNA
Source: RNAcentral
CGAACGCUGGCGGCGCGCCUAACACAUGCAAGUCGAACGGAGCUGAGCGAAGCUUGCUUUUCUUAGCUUAGUGGCGAACGGGUGAGUAACGCGUGAGUAACCUGCCCUGGAGUGGGGGACAACAGUUGGAAACGACUGCUAAUACCGCAUAAGCCCACGAUCCGGCAUCGGAUUGAGGGAAAAGGAUUUAUUCGCUUCAGGAUGGACUCGCGUCCAAUUAGCUAGUUGGUGAGGUAACGGCCCACCAAGGCGACGAUUGGUAGCCGGACUGAGAGGUUGAACGGACACAUUGGGAUUGAGACACGGCCCAGACUCCUACGGGAGGCAGCAGUGGGGGAUAUUGCACAAUGGGGGAAACCCUGAUGCAGCGACGCCGCGUGGAGGAAGAAGGUUUGCGGAUUGUAAACUCCUGUCGUUAGGGACGAUAAUGACGGUACCUAACAAGAAAGCACCGGCUAACUACGUG